Molecule: non-coding RNA, 409 nt
Organism: Apodemus sylvaticus (European woodmouse)
Lineage: Eukaryota; Metazoa; Chordata; Mammalia; Rodentia; Muridae
Source: the annotation of a RefSeq genome assembly
UCAGAGCAUGGCUGUCCUGGAGCUGCUCCUCUGCCUGGUGAACUUUCCAAGCUGUGUCCUGUCCCAGGUCCAGCUGAAGGAGUCAGGACCUGGGCUGGUGCAGCCCUCACAGAUCCUAUCCAACACGUGCACUGUCUCUGUGUUCUCAUUAACUAGCACUGGUGUAUACUGGGUUGGCCAGCCUCCAGGAAAGGGUCUGGAGUGGAUGGGAAUAAUGGAAUAUAAUGGAAACACAGGCUAUAAUUCAGCUCUCAAAUCCAGACUGAGGAUCAGCAGAGACACCUCCAAGAGCCAAGUUUUCUUAAAAAUGAACAGUUUGCAAACUGAUGACACAGCCACUUACUACUGUGCUAGAAACACAAUGAGGGAAGUCCAGAGUGAACCUGCACAAAAAAAUUCUCGGCAGUGA